UACGUAGGGCGCAAGCGUUGUCCGGAAUUAUUGGGCGUAAAGAGCUCGUAGGCGGCUUUGUCACGUCGAUUGUGAAAGCCCGAGGCUUAACCUCGGGUCUGCAGUCGAUACGGGCUAGCUAGAGUGUGGUAGGGGGAGAUCGGAAUUCCUGGUGUAGCGGUGAAAUGCGCAGAUAUCAGGAGGAACACCGGUGGCGAAGGCGGAUCUCUGGGCCAUUACUGACGCUGAGGCACGAAAGCUAGGGGAGCAAACAGG
This 255-nucleotide ribosomal RNA is filed under the name uncultured bacterium. RNAcentral describes it as "partial 16S ribosomal RNA". It matches the Rfam family "Bacterial small subunit ribosomal RNA", at positions 524 to 776 of the family's 1533-position model. The record is from RNAcentral.